CAGGGCCGUUGCCAAGCCCGACGCCACACUACCUCAGAAGAAAGAAUAAACUAAAUAAGAUGGUUCAAUAUAAUUUUAAGAAGAUCACUGUAGUCCCAAGUGGGAAGGACUUCAUUGACAUUAUCCUCUCUCGAACACAAAGGCAAACACCAACAGUUGUCCACAAGGGAUAUGCCAUUUCUCGUCUGCGUCAGUUUUACAUGCGCAAAGUCAAGUACACUCAGCAAAAUUUUCAUGAGAAGUUAUCUACAAUUAUUGAGGAGUUUCCUCGGCUGGAUGACAUCCACCCUUUCUACGGUGACCUUCUUCAUGUCCUUUACAACAAGGACCAUUACAAGCUUGCCCUUGGCCAGGUAAACACUGCCAGGAAUCUCAUUAGCAAGAUAUCCAAGGAUUAUGUGAAAUUGCUGAAGUAUGGUGACUCACUAUAUCGGUGCAAAUCUCUGAAAGUUGCUGCACUCGGUCGCAUGUGUACUGUGAUUAAGAGGAU
Molecule: unclassified non-coding RNA, 490 nt
Filed under: Hevea brasiliensis (rubber tree)
Lineage: Eukaryota; Viridiplantae; Streptophyta; Magnoliopsida; Malpighiales; Euphorbiaceae
Source: RNAcentral